AUAGAUCCACUGAAAUGGUGUCUCAGAAGCUUGUCUUCUGUAUAAGUACCUGACAGGAAAAGAUGAAAGCCAAGCAGAGGUUUACUGUUCCUAGGGAAGUUUGAAGCAUGAUUAGGUGAUUAUUUUACUUACACUUUUCUCUUACAAAGAUUAUUUACUUGGUUAUCUUUUUGUUUGUUUCUUUGUUGGGAUUAGAUGUCUGCACAUCCCUCGUCUUGGUGUGGAGACAGUCUGUAAAGAUGGAGCCUUGCAUAGCAUCCUCUGGAUGCCAUAUAUAAGCUCAGACAGAUAUUGAGAGAAAAGUUGAAAGACAGCAUCUACAUUUUCUGUACAUUCCCUCCCUCUCUGGCUGCUGCUGGCAUGAUCACACUUCCAAAGCUCUUGGUCCACCUUGCUGUACUCUAUAUGCAGAAGUUCAGAGAGUUAAUGUUUUUCCAGCAUCCAGCUGCUGCAUAACUAAGGAAAAAGAAGUAAUCUAGCAGAUUUCUGGACAGCUAGCAGCAUUUCUAUGCAAAAGUGAUCAUGCAGGUCAGUCAGUCUCACCUCAGUGCUUGGCAAAUGCAUGGAGCAGACCCUCCUGAAAACUAUAUGAAGGCACAUGGAAAACAAAAAGGAUUGGAUAAGAGAAGAUCAACUGAUGCCAUCUACCUGGACUUGUGCAAAACAUUUGACACUGUCCCACAUGACAUCCUUGUCUUUAAAGGAUUUCAGAAGGUGAAUAAUCACCUUCAUCCAAUUGCUGCAUGAAAUAGUCAACAGAAAUUUUCAUCAGAAAAAUCGAUUGAAAAUUCUUAUGUAAAGGUGGUACAUAUUAGCCAAAGGAAUGUCUUUAUUGUAAGUUGGAGCUAAUGAACAAGUAUCACAGUAAACUGAGCAAUGUACAUACCAU
Molecule: long non-coding RNA, 889 nt
Organism: Gallus gallus (chicken)
Lineage: Eukaryota; Metazoa; Chordata; Aves; Galliformes; Phasianidae
Source: Ensembl